Molecule: ribosomal RNA, 254 nt
Filed under: uncultured bacterium
Lineage: Bacteria
Description: partial 16S ribosomal RNA
Rfam family: Bacterial small subunit ribosomal RNA
Source: RNAcentral
UACAGAGGGUGCGAGCGUUAAUCGGAAUUACUGGGCGUAAAGGGCUCGUAGGCGGCCAACUAAGUCGGACGUGAAAUCCCUCAGCUUAACUGGGGAACUGCGUCCGAUACUGGAUGGCUUGGAUUUGGGAGAGGGAUGCGGAAUUCCAGGUGUAGCGGUGAAAUGCGUAGAUAUCUGGAGGAACACCGGUGGCGAAGGCGGCAUCCUGGACCAAUAUUGACGCUGAGGAGCGAAAGCCAGGGGAGCAAACGGGG